This 252-nucleotide ribosomal RNA is filed under the name uncultured bacterium. RNAcentral's name for it is "partial 16S ribosomal RNA". It matches the Rfam family "Bacterial small subunit ribosomal RNA", at positions 524 to 775 of the family's 1533-position model. The record is from RNAcentral.
UACGAAGGGGGCUAGCGUUGCUCGGAAUCACUGGGCGUAAAGGGUGCGUAGGCGGGUCUUAAGUCAGGGGUGAAAUCCUGGAGCUCAACUCCAGAACUGCCUUUGAUACUGAAGAUCUUGAGUUCGGGAGAGGUGAGUGGAACUGCGAGUGUAGAGGUGAAAUUUCGUAGAUAUUCGCAAGAACACCAGUGGCGAAGGCGGCUCACUGGCCCGGUACUGACGCUGAGGUGCGAAAGCGUGGGGAGCAACAGG